AUUAAUAAUUAAUAUAUUUAAUAAAAAUAAUUUUAAUUUAAUAAGUAUUUUAAUGGGGGUUAAAGUAUUUUUUAAAGAAAAAAUUUUUAAAUUUAUAGUUAAUUAGUAUUGUGAAAGAAUUUUGAAAUAUUAUGAAAAAUAAAAUUUUUAGAAAGUAAUUUUUAUUUAUUGUAUCUUGUGUAUCAGAGUUUAUUAAAAAUUUUUAAUUUAUGAAUUAAUUUCUCGAAUUUAAAAGAGUUAAAUAAUUAUUAAAGUUAUUGUAGCAAAAUUAUUUUAAAUAAUUAUUUAGAAAUGAAAUGUUAAUCGUUUUUAAAUAUAUCUAGUUUUUAUAGAAAAAAAUUUAAUUUUAAAUUUAAGAAUUAUUUAAUUAACUUAUUAAUUAAAUAAUUACUUAAAUUUUAUAAUUUAAGGGAUAAGCUUUAAAUUAAAUUUUUAUAAUACUAAAUUUUUAUUUUGAAAAUUUUAUAAUUUAUAUUGUUAAUAAAUUUUAUUUUAUUAUAAAUAAUUUCAUUUUUUUUAAAAUUUAAAUUUUAUUUAAUUUUUUAUAUAAAAUUUAUUUAUAAUUAUAUAAAGUUAAUUAUAAUGAUAAAAUUAGUAUAUUAUUUAAUAUUAAAUUAAAAUUAAUUUUUGGUUAAUAAUUAAAUUAAUUAAAAGGAAUUCGGCAAAUAUUUAUUUUCACUUGUUUAUCAAAAACAUGUCUUUUUGUUAUUUAAUUUAAAGUCUAAUCUGCCCACUGAUUUAUAAAAAUUGAAGGGCUGCAGUAUAUUGACUGUACAAAGGUAGCAUAAUCAUUAGUCUCUUAAUUGGUGACUUGUAUGAAAGAUUGGAUGAAAAAUAUACUGUCUCUUAAUUAAUAUAUAGAAUUUAAUUUUUUAUUUAAAAAGUUAAAAUAACUUAAAAAGACGAGAAGACCCUAUAGAGUUUAAUAAAUUAUUUUAUGAAAGUUUUAUUUAUAUUUAUUAAUAAUUUUAUAAAUUUAUUUAUUUAGUUGGGGUGAUAAAAAAAUAAAUUUAACUUUUUUUAAGUAAUUUACAUGGAUAAGUGAUUAAU
RNAcentral lists this ribosomal RNA (1050 nucleotides) under Biston falcata satura. Its description in RNAcentral is "partial 16S ribosomal RNA". The record is from RNAcentral. Lineage: Eukaryota; Metazoa; Arthropoda; Insecta; Lepidoptera; Geometridae.